GCAGGGGACCGCAAGGCCUCGCGCUCUUUGAGCGGCCGAUGUCAGAUUAGCUAGUUGGUGAGGUAAAGGCUUACCAAGGCGACGAUCUGUAGCGGGUCUGAGAGGAUGAUCCGCCACACGGGAACUGAGACACGGUCCAGACUCCUACGGGAGGCAGCAGUGGGGAAUUUUGGACAAUGGGGGCAACCCUGAUCCAGCCAUGCCGCGUGAGUGAAGAAGGCCUUCGGGUUGUAAAGCUCUUUCGGCCGGGAAGAAAUCGCAUGGGCCAAUGCCCUGUGUGGGUGACGGUACCGGAAUAAGAAGCACCGGCUAACUACGUGCCAGCAGCCGCGGUAAUACGUAGGGUGCGAGCGUUAAUCGGAAUUACUGGGCGUAAAGCGUGCGCAGGCGGUUUUGUAAGACAGGCGUGAAAUCCCCGGGCUUAACCUGGGAACUGCGUUUGUGACUGCAAGGCUAGAGUACGGCAGAGGGGGGUGGAAUUCCGCGUGUAGCAGUGAAAUGCGUAGAGAUGUGGAGGAACACCAAUGGCGAAGGCAGCCCCCUGGGUCGAUACUGACGCUCAUGCACGAAAGCGUGGGUAGCAAACAGGAUUAGAUACCCUGGUAGUCCACGCCCUAAACUAUGUCAACUAGGUGUUGGGUGGGUAAAACCAUUUAGUACCGUAGCUAACGCGUGAAGUUGACCGCCUGGGGAGUACGGCCGCAAGGUUAAAACUCAAAGGAAUUGACGGGGACCCGCACAAGCGGUGGAUGAUGUGGAUUAAUUCGAUGCAACGCGAAAAACCUUACCUACCCUUGACAUGCCAGGAACUUGCCAGAGAUGGCUUGGUGCCCGAAAGGGAGCCUGGACACAGGUGCUGCAUGGCUGUCGUCAGCUCGUGUCGUGAGAUGUUGGGUUAAGUCCCGCAACGAGCGCAACCCUUGUCGUUAAUUGCCAUCAUUUAGUUGGGCACUUUAACGAGACUGCCGGUGACAAACCGGAGGAAGGUGGGGAUGACGUCAAGUCCUCAUGGCCCUUAUGGGUAGGGCUUCACACGUCAUACAAUGGUCGGUACAAGGGGUUGCCAAGCCGCGAGGCGGAGCCAAUCCCAGAAAGCCGAUCGUAGUCCGGAUUGCAGGCUGCAACUCGCCUGCAUGAAGUCGGAAUCGCUAGUAAUCGCGCAUCAGCACGGCACGGUGAAUACGUUCCCGGGUCUUGUACACACCGCCCGUCACACCAUGGGAGCGGGUUCCGCCAGAAGUAGGUAGCCUAACCGCAAGGGGGGCGCUUACCACGGCGGGGUUCGUGACUGGGGUGAAGUCGAAACAAGGUA
RNAcentral lists this ribosomal RNA (1312 nucleotides) under metagenome. RNAcentral's name for it is "bacterial SSU rRNA". It matches the Rfam family "Bacterial small subunit ribosomal RNA", at positions 191 to 1498 of the family's 1533-position model. The record is from RNAcentral.